This 1095-nucleotide ribosomal RNA is filed under the name Triticum aestivum (bread wheat). Its description in RNAcentral is "partial small subunit ribosomal RNA". Lineage: Eukaryota; Viridiplantae; Streptophyta; Magnoliopsida; Poales; Poaceae. The record is from RNAcentral.
AUGGCGUCGUCGCUGGACGCGCCCAACCUCGACGAUUACCUCACCGCGGACUCGCUCCCGCAGGAACCCCCGAGGAGUCUCACCCUGCGCGAUCUGCUGGACAUCUCGCCAGUGCUCACCGAGGCCGCGGGCGCCAUCGUCGAUGAUUCAUUCACACGUUGCUUUAAGUCAAAUUCUCCGGAGCCAUGGAACUGGAACAUCUAUUUGUUCCCAUUAUGGUGCUUGGGAGCAGUCAUAAGAUAUGGACUACUGUUUCCGCUAAGGUUCUUAACACUUAUACUAGGAUGGAUGGCCUUCUUUACUGCCUUUUUUCCUGUGCGUUUCCUAAUGAACGGGAAAAAUAGGCUAAAAAGUAAAAUAGAGAGAAAGCUGGUUGAAAUGAUGUGCAGUGUUUUUGUUGCUUCUUGGACUGGAGUGAUCAAGUACCAUGGACCACGCCCAAGCUCACGCCCUUAUCAGGUAUUUGUUGCAAACCAUACAUCGAUGAUAGAUUUUAUUAUUCUGGAGCAGAUGACAGCAUUUGCUGUCAUCAUGCAAAAGCAUCCUGGAUGGGUUGGAUUUAUUCAGAAGACUAUUCUGGAAAGUGUGGGUUGCAUCUGGUUUAACCGUAAUGAUCUCAAGGAUCGUGAAGUAGUUGGAAGAAAGUUACGUGAUCAUGUUCAGCAUCCAGACAACAAUCCUCUCUUGAUUUUCCCAGAAGGAACUUGUGUUAAUAAUCAGUACACUGUGAUGUUCAAGAAGGGUGCUUUUGAGCUUGGCUGUGCUGUAUGUCCAAUAGCUAUCAAAUAUAAUAAAAUAUUUGUUGACGCCUUCUGGAAUAGUAAGAAGCAAUCUUUUACAAUGCAUUUGGUUCGUCUUAUGACAUCAUGGGCUGUUGUUUGUGAUGUUUGGUUCUUGGAACCUCAGUAUCUCAGGGAAGGGGAGACAGCGAUAGAAUUUACUGAAAGAGUGAGGGAUAUGAUAGCUGCUCGGGCUGGUCUUAAGAAGGUUCCAUGGGAUGGCUAUCUGAAACAUAACCGCCCUAGCCCCAAACAUACCGAGGAAAAGCAGCGCAUGUUUGCUGAAUCUGUGCUGAGGAGACUAGAGGAAAACUAA